Molecule: transfer RNA, 74 nt
Filed under: Planctomycetota bacterium
Lineage: Bacteria; Pseudomonadati; Planctomycetota
Also listed under: 1 other name
Description: tRNA-Lys
Rfam family: tRNA
About the family: Transfer RNA (tRNA) molecules are approximately 80 nucleotides in length. Their secondary structure includes four short double-helical elements and three loops (D, anti-codon, and T loops).
Source: RNAcentral
GGGGCUGUAGCUCAGUUGGUUAGAGCAGCGGACUUUUAAUCCGUAGGUCCUGGGUUCGAGUCCCAGCAGCCCCA